Molecule: transfer RNA, 74 nt
Filed under: Sus scrofa (pig)
Lineage: Eukaryota; Metazoa; Chordata; Mammalia; Artiodactyla; Suidae
Rfam family: tRNA
About the family: Transfer RNA (tRNA) molecules are approximately 80 nucleotides in length. Their secondary structure includes four short double-helical elements and three loops (D, anti-codon, and T loops).
Source: Rfam by way of RNAcentral
UCCCUGGUGGCUCAGUAGGUUAAGGGCCCAGCAUUGCCACAGCUGUGGCUUGGGUUCACUCCCUGGCCUGGGAA